CCAUCUCUUACCUGCUGUGUGGCCAUGAGCAAAUGCCUAUUCUCACUGGGACUCAGUUUCCUCAUCUACAAAGUGAAACGUGUUCAUACUUCCCUUAUGGUCAGUGAGGAUGGAAUGGGAUAACAUUCUGCACCCCGCCUGGCACCACAGGCAUAUGAGGUAUUCGAUAAGUGAAUGAUUGUGCCAGACAAGAAAGCUGCCUGCCCUCCUCCUCCUCGGCCCUGUGCAGGGACUGGGGUGGAUGAGAAAGCCCGUGUUUCCUGAACACCUGUUUGCACCAGGCACCUAUUUGGCUGCUGCCUGGAUGUCCUUCUCAGGUUCCAGCUCAGGUCUCUUGGACCAGUCCCCUGGUCUGGGGUAGGGAUGCCUGGAACGGCUCUAGCGGCAAGGCCAUAUCUCGCCAGGCUGCCAGGAUGAGCUGAGCAUUGUGUCCACGGUGGGUGUCUGAAGGAAAUAAUGUAUACAGUGGUCCAUUUCCAAGACCAAGUGCCUUGAAUCUGGCUCUCCUCUCCUGCUAAGCUUUGUUUCCUAAUUAAAAUCUGCCACUGCCAUAGCUACUGCUGCUGCUGGAUUUUAAAUUUAUAAGCUUAAAUUUCAGUGAUGAUGUCUUAGGAAGAACAGGAGAGGAGGAACA
RNAcentral lists this long non-coding RNA (634 nucleotides) under Homo sapiens (human). RNAcentral describes it as "non-protein coding lnc-NPY4R-4:1". The record is from RNAcentral. Lineage: Eukaryota; Metazoa; Chordata; Mammalia; Primates; Hominidae.